RNAcentral lists this ribosomal RNA (205 nucleotides) under uncultured bacterium. RNAcentral describes it as "partial 16S ribosomal RNA". It matches the Rfam family "Bacterial small subunit ribosomal RNA", at positions 570 to 774 of the family's 1533-position model. The record is from RNAcentral.
CGUAGGCGGUCAGGUGUGUUGGAUGUGAAAGCUCCGGGCUCAACCCGGAAAGUGCGUUCAAAACUGCUUGGCUAGAGUACGGAAGGGGGAUGCGGAAUGCAGGGUGUAGCGGUGAAAUGCGUUGAUAUCCUGCAGAACACCGGUGGCGAAGGCGGCAUCCUGGGACGUUACUGACGCUGAGGCGCGAAAGCAGGGGGAGCAAACA